AAGGUAGCAUAAUAAAUUGUUUUUUAAUUGGAAACUGGAAUGAAUGAUUUAAUGAAACUAAAACUUUCUUAAUCUAUUAUUUUAAUAAAAUUUUAUAUUUUAGUUAAAAAGCUAAAAUAAAAUUAAAAGACGAGAAGACCCUAUAGAUUUUAAUAAUUAAUUAUAAAUUUAAUAUAAAUUUAAUAUAAAUUAUUUGAUUGGGGUGAUAAAAAAAUUUAAUUAACUUUUUUAAAAAUUAAACAAAUAUUUUUGAAUAUAUUUUUAAUAAUUUAAUUUUAUUUAAAAUUAAAUUACCUUAGGGAUAACAGCAUUAUUUUAAUUUAAAGAUGUUAUUUAAAUUAAAGAUUUUGACCUCGAUGUUGGAUUAAGAUUUAAAUUUUAUGAAGUUAUAUUAUUUUUUAGUCUGUUCGACUAUUAAAAUCUUACAUGAUCUGAGUUCAGACCGGUGUGAGCCAGGUUG
This 460-nucleotide ribosomal RNA is filed under the name Plectrocnemia geniculata. Its description in RNAcentral is "partial large subunit ribosomal RNA". The stretch from base 301 to 459 matches the Rfam family "Archaeal large subunit ribosomal RNA", at positions 2542 to 2701 of the family's 2987-position model. Lineage: Eukaryota; Metazoa; Arthropoda; Insecta; Trichoptera; Polycentropodidae. The record is from RNAcentral.